GGGCGUGUAGCUCUCUGGGAGAGCGACGGAUUGUCUAUCCGAUCCAGGCGAGUUCGAUUCUCGUCACGCCCGCCA
This 75-nucleotide transfer RNA is filed under the name Rhizobium phage RHph_I1_18. RNAcentral describes it as "tRNA-Asp". It matches the Rfam family "tRNA". Rfam says of the family: Transfer RNA (tRNA) molecules are approximately 80 nucleotides in length. Their secondary structure includes four short double-helical elements and three loops (D, anti-codon, and T loops). Lineage: Duplodnaviria; Heunggongvirae; Uroviricota; Caudoviricetes. The record is from RNAcentral.